Molecule: long non-coding RNA, 481 nt
Organism: Manis pentadactyla (Chinese pangolin)
Lineage: Eukaryota; Metazoa; Chordata; Mammalia; Pholidota; Manidae
Exons: 3
Source: RefSeq, a predicted model, not a curated record
GCCUGGCGGGCCUGCGGAGGACCCGGAAGGGGCUCCCGAGGGGGAUCGCCCGCUGCCCGUCGCUCGCUCGUUUCCGCUGCCUUCCGGGUUGGGAGGGCUGGUGAGCUCCGCGCCGCGAGGCGACACCGCCCAGCCCUGGUUCUGGUCACCCUGGGAUUGCUGCUCCUGGCCAGCCCACUGCGUAAGGAGGACUCACAAACUCUUGAGCUCUGUUUGCUCUCCUCUGAACUAUUGGAAGCUGAAGACGACGACAAGAUCCUGCUGAAUCUGAAGAGUCACCAGAACUAACACCUGAAGAGACGUUGGCGCUUGUCCUGUGACGUGCAGAAUAAGCUGCCCUACUGGUGGCAGACUGGGUAGGAGAACCUACCAACUCAGGAAUCACUUUUGUCUGAAACUUCAACCGCUUCUGCUUGAUAUUUCUGGUCAAAGAUAAUGAACAAAAGAAACAAUAGUUAAUAAAAAAAAUGCCUAAACAAAA